RNAcentral lists this ribosomal RNA (250 nucleotides) under uncultured bacterium. RNAcentral describes it as "partial 16S ribosomal RNA". It matches the Rfam family "Bacterial small subunit ribosomal RNA", at positions 524 to 773 of the family's 1533-position model. The record is from RNAcentral.
GACAGAGGGUGCAAACGUUGUUCGGAAUUACUGGGCGUAAAGCGUGUGUAGGCGGUUCUGUAAGUCAGGUGUGAAAGCCCGGGGCUCAACCCCGGAAGUGCACUUGAUACUGCAGGGCUAGAGUACCGGAGAGGUUGGUGGAAUUCUCGGUGUAGAGGUGAAAUUCGUAGAUAUCGAGAGGAACACCGGUGGCGAAGGCGGCCAACUGGACGGAUACUGACGCUGAGACACGAAAGCGUGGGGAGCAAAC